This is a long non-coding RNA of Lycium barbarum (goji berry), 1447 nucleotides long. RefSeq lists it as uncharacterized. The transcript is spliced from 5 exons. NCBI's taxonomy places the organism in Eukaryota, Viridiplantae, Streptophyta, Magnoliopsida, Solanales, Solanaceae. The record is from RefSeq and is a predicted model, not a curated record.
GUUUUCUGUAACACACGUGGAUUCACUAUAGUCUUUCUCUUUUCACUUUAUCACAAGCUCGGCUAAAGCACAUCUCCUCUCGGCGUAGCUUUCUCUGUUUCUCUUUCAUUUUGAUCCUCAUUUUCGUCAUGAUUCAGAAUUGAUCUUCUGCCCUCAAGAUUGUACUAAGAAAAUGGAACACAGAUUUACCAUCGGCUCUCAAUCACAUCACUGACCAAAGGCUGCAAUAGGAUGACCAAAAGCCAGUCCUACUAAUUCCUCCAACAUAGCUACAGGUAUCUUUUGGAGAUAUGAUUGCUUUCUACAAUGAGAGGAACAUAUAGAAGGUCCGAGAAGGAGUCCAAGGAUUAAAAGCAGUGACAGUUUCUUCCUUUUUUUUAAGAAAAAGAAGCGACUGUUUCAAUUUUUCAAGUGAUAUUUGACUAUACAUCUACAACUACCCUUGACUAUAUUGUUGCCGCUAAGAAAGAAAACGAAAUAAUAGAGCAGGACCACAUUAAAGGUGGAAAAAAGGACUUUUAAGAGAAAAAUAAGAACAACAUCAACAUGACAGAGAGAAAAAACUAACGCAGAAAAAGCAAAGAAUGGCAAAUGAAAUUCAGAAUAGGGCGAAUAGAUUAGAACUACGGUUAAUAUGCACCAAGGUAUAAGUGUUUCAUCUCUUCUUAUAAUCCAUUUGGGAGAAAAGUAGUGAAAAUUCCCACUUUCCAGAGAAUUGAAGAGAGUGCUGCCCAACAUGUGACUGAGUGGAAAUUACUUCCAGAGAAUUGAAGAGAGUACUGCCCAACACGUGGAAGACCGGAAAUUACUUCCAGAAUUUGCAUAUUCCUUAAAGGAAACUACAAAAUGUGAUGUCUGUAGUUUUGGAGUUGUUCUAAUGGAAUUGAUCAAUGGAAAGAAGCCAGUGGAGCCAGAAUUUGGUAUUUUUUUAUGGGUAUCGACAGACGUGGAGACCAAAGAAGGAGCAUUUGAAGUCUUGGAUAAAAGAGUCUCAGAUAGUACGCCAGCUCAGCGUCCUACGAUGAAUGAAGUCGUUCAGCGCCUAAUUGAGGCGGAUCCUUGAAAAUUCAAUUGUUACAACAUGUCAAAUAAGAAAGAAGAAUUACACAAAAGAAGUGAUAAUAAGCCAAAGAGCAUAUAUGAUUUCUGAGUUUAGUAUGUCAGAUUAGUAUAUAAGGUCCAUAGAGUAUGACUACUGUAUGGUCUCAAAAGAAUUAGUCUUUGUGUUCGUUUCACCAACUUGGACAAACUUCAGGUACUAAACAACUAAUGGCCUUAAAAUUCAAGAACAUCGAGUUAGUCUUCAGUCGAUUAGAUCUCUUCAUGAGCGCAGGACAAUGUAGUUGCGGCUCUUGCUCUUCCAGAGAAUUCUUUAAAUUAUGUAUCUCCCAAGAUACAGCUAAAUACAAAUACAUAUAUUAGACUAAUGCUGCUUUUGCUACAAGCA